Molecule: transfer RNA, 103 nt
Filed under: Biscogniauxia mediterranea
Lineage: Eukaryota; Fungi; Ascomycota; Sordariomycetes; Xylariales; Xylariaceae
Description: tRNA-Leu
Rfam family: tRNA
About the family: Transfer RNA (tRNA) molecules are approximately 80 nucleotides in length. Their secondary structure includes four short double-helical elements and three loops (D, anti-codon, and T loops).
Source: RNAcentral
GGUGAGAUGGCCGAGUGGUUAUGGCGCUGCGUUCAGGUUUACCUGGAUUUCAAAAAACUUCGCAGUGGAGCAAUCCGCGUGGGUUCGAGUCCCACUCUCAUCA